Catharus ustulatus (Swainson's thrush) is the source of this 421-nucleotide long non-coding RNA. RefSeq lists it as uncharacterized. Lineage: Eukaryota; Metazoa; Chordata; Aves; Passeriformes; Turdidae. The record is from RefSeq and is a predicted model, not a curated record. The transcript has 2 exons.
ACCCGGCGUGGCUUCUCACCAGCGCCACAUCGUGCGGCCCGCAGCCGGUGAAUUCCCGGCGUCUCUGGAUGUGAUGGAGCAGUGUGAACCUGCAGAUCCCAGGAUUGUCACAGACACCUCCUGCUGCUGAUGCCAGGCUCAGACCUGCCUGGGAUGGAGGAAAACGGGAAGCAAAACAUUGGCCGUGGAUCAGCGAUUGCUUCAAGCUCACUGCCCUCAAAGGAGGCACAGGAAAAAGCUGUUGCUGAAGCUUUGAAGCUCUGGGACACACACACACACGCACUGCCAAGAACUUUGCUUUCUUGCACAUAAUCACUUUAGCUUGGCUGAUAACAAGUUGAUAAAAAUGAUCCCAGGGAAGAAAGGUCAAUGUUUAACCUGUUUGUAAAGCUUGUUCUAUCCAAUUAAAAGUUCAAUUACU